AGUCUUUUGAGGUGUUAUAAAAGAUGGUUUCUGCUCAGUGUUUAAGUAAACAGCCGCGGUAAUUUGACCGUGCAAAGGUAGCAUAAUUAUUUGCCCUGUAAUUGAGGGCUAGAAUGAAUGGGAGAACAAAAUGUCUGCUUUAUUUUUAAGAAAAAAAGAAUUUUCUUUUUUAGUGAAGAAGCUAAAAUUGUUGUGAGGGACAAGAAGACCCUUUUGAGCUUUAGUAAUUAUAUUUUUCUUAAAUGUCAUUACUUUGGUUGGGGCGACCAAGGAAGAAAAGAUCUUCUUUUUAGAACGUUGAUCCGGGGGUUUCGAUAAAUGAACUAAGCUACCAAAGGGAUAACAGCGUAAUUUUUUUUGUGAGUUCUUAUUUAAAAAAAAGAUUGCGACCUCGAUGUUGACUUAUGAUUUCCUGUUGGUGUAGAAGCUAUUAGGGUGGGUCUGUUCGACCUUUAAAAUUUU
This 462-nucleotide ribosomal RNA is filed under the name Paranemertes sp. QD2. RNAcentral describes it as "partial 16S ribosomal RNA". It matches the Rfam family "Bacterial large subunit ribosomal RNA", at positions 1829 to 2597 of the family's 2925-position model. Lineage: Eukaryota; Metazoa; Nemertea; Enopla; Monostilifera; Emplectonematidae. RNAcentral also lists the same sequence under 1 other name. The record is from RNAcentral.